Molecule: long non-coding RNA, 3314 nt
Organism: Rattus norvegicus (Norway rat)
Lineage: Eukaryota; Metazoa; Chordata; Mammalia; Rodentia; Muridae
Source: RefSeq, a predicted model, not a curated record
CUCAACACAUCUCCCCGCGGGCCUGGCUUUGCAAACAGGAGAGCCAGUCCCAUCUGGAGCAGGGGAGCAGUGGCGCGCAGCCUUUGGACUCGCCGACCAGUGCGUUCGGUCCAGUUGGAGGUACCUCCUGCAGGUUACCAGAGGUGCCACCCUUCACAAGCCCCUAACUUGGCCAAGUCUCAGAGGACUCAUAAGGUUAACAUAGCAACUGGACGUCGUCUGGCACAUGAUCUCUCCUCGUCUCCUUGCCUUCCAUCUCCAGUGAAGAAGCCACAGUUAAAAGAUGACUUCAGGAAGGAGAUGGCUUCCCUGUGACUAAUGGCGGUCUCUCCAUCCUGUGCUCUUUCCCUGCGGCCUCUGGUAACCAGUGGAUAAGAAUAGGGCUGGCUACAGGAGGCCAGAACCCUAAAGGCAGCUGCAGACAACUCCAACCAGGCUAUUUCCUUUUCCUAUGGAAUUUGGAGAGAAACCAAGCUAAUAAGGGAAAAGGCCAGAAGAAUAAAAUAUAGAGAGACUGAAGCUUGUGUGAUAAACUUGGGACAUCUGCAUAACUGAGACAGAAGACUGGACAAAGACUGUGUACCUUCCGUGACUGGGGGAGGAGUUAUCUUAUGGAGCUGGGAUGGGGUGAACAAAACAUCACCUUUUCAUUGGAUUUUUUUUACUAUAUUUAUUUAAUAGAGGCAGCCGUGUGUGUGUGUGUGUGUGUGUGUGUGUGUGUGUCCACCCAAUGUUGCACAAACAUGGCGUACAAGUGGGGUAAGAGGACAAUUUGCCUAAGUCUCAGACAUUCAACUCAAGGCAGCAAGCACCUUUACCUGAUGGGCCAUCUUGUCCACCCCAACCUUCAAAAUACAUAAUAUAUAAUACGCUAUGCCAAGUGUUACUAACACAAGAUUCUCUGUAAUCUUUACAUUAAUCCUGUAAGAUGAGCUUACUCCUCCCCACAUUACAGAAGAGAAUCUGGAGUCUUAACAAAGGUUAAGUAGGCUGCUCAGAGAGAGCUACACAGUGAGUACAGGAUUUGGGAACAGAUCUGUACUACGUAGCAAUAAUAUUUCCCCUGUCAAAUACAUGCUCACUAGCAAACCAUCUUGGAAAUGGAGAGAACAUUUCUGUCUUUUAUGUGAAAAAAAUGAGGCACGAACCACCUUGAUGUGAUCUCUAGAAAAUGACAGUUGUGUCUUGGGUCCUGUGUUCAUUGUAUCAAUCCAUCCGUAGCAAAUGGGCACUUUUUCGAUUGUAUGGUCAUGGUACUCUCAAGAAUCAGAAGACGCAUCACUCUGUAGGGGAUGCCCCUGGAAAAAGACCUCACCAAGCCAAUCACCCAAAAGGUCAGAGUCCCAGAAGGAUACCAAGAAAUCACAGAGUUUCCAGCCGUGGGGGGCGGGGAUUUCCAAAAACUACAUUUCCCUUGCACUGACUCUCUCAAAGUUAUGCUCAAGAGUUCUGUUUAGCCUGUGCAGAAAUACACAGUAAGAUUAGAAGGAUGACAGUAACAAGAGUGUACACUGAAUCCAACACUUGGGAACUCGGGCACCACUAGAAGUGCUUUGUGUCUGAUUUACUUACUUAAGCAUGAGUCAUGCUAGGAAGUCAUCACCUCUGUUUUGUACGUGAGGAAGUGAGGCUCAGAGAGGUGAAGUCAUUUGUCCACUGUGACAGAGUUAAUGAGGACAGAGCUGGGAUUUAAACUUAGGGAGUCUCACUCCUGAAGCACUACUUAAGGCUUGCCAAGUUAUGGGUACAUUUGCACGCUCGUGAGCACACACACACACACACACACACACACGUGCAUACACACAUGCGCACACAUAGGCACACACAAACACACCUCCUUCUACCAAAUAACUGUAAUAAGGAAGGUCCUUGAAGUACCUUCCAGAACGCACCAUAGGGACUCUCUGAGUCAGUGCCCAUAUCUGAGGGAAGGAUACUCCAGGACCAUCCACACUCUGAAAAUGGACCUUGCCCCGGGGAACUUGGCUCCUUCUGUCUGCCCACCUCUCUGCCAGCAUCACCAGCUGCCCCUUGUCAGCCCAGCACAAAGGAAGGCCAGAUUGGCUGGGGGAGGGGCAGUAGGGCUGCUCUAUCCCUCUUGCCAAGUAGGGAACUUCUCUUCCCUUCUCCCCUCCUCCUGGGAGCUCCCAUCUAGCCUGUAUCACCAGCUCUUUGGGCUUUUGGCCAGCUCUUUGGGCUUUGAGGGAAACAGGAGUCAGUCCCAAUGACCAUGCCCGUUCAUUCAACUGGGAGCAGUUUCUCUGACUCUGAGCAGAGAAUACUGUUGUGCUUCCACAGAAAUCCAUCCCUGUCAGAGACCGGGUCAGAAAAGGACACAUCACCUCAGGAGGAUGGAGAUGGCUUCUGUUCUCUUCUCUUUCCCCACUGUGUGUCAUGGCCCAUUGCUGAAGAAAUAGAGACAAAGUAGGCGAUGGGAAAAGACACUGCCCAAGGCAGUGGAUAAAUGUAAGCCUAGAGCUCUGCAGGCUCACAGCCCUGUCCAGAGAAUGUCACUAAGUCUGAAGCUAAUUCUCUCCUCUAGGCCCCAGGUUCUCGCCUCUAACCUGAGGUAUCUAGGUUGAGUGGGGCCUGUGGGGUCCCUUCCACAUGGUUUAAGGCAGAGAGACUCCUCGGCUGGGCAUUUCCCCAUGGAGAGAAUUGGGAGGGACCGUAAGUGGCUAUUUAAUACUCCAAGCUCUCAUUUCUGAAGCCUCUCCACCACUGAGGUGACAUCGAGACCACCUCCAGGGAUUUCCGAGUAAGAAGUAUCCUGGUCUGGCAUCACAAUCUGUCAGUUGAGUUCUAUUUGCUUCAAACCUUAGCUAGGAUUAGACCUGCGUGGUCAGGGCUGUGCCUCUGAUCUACAUACACCUCAAACCUGGGGCGGGUCUUCCUUGACUCUCAUCUUUUGAACAAUGCAAAGCAAGAAAGUAAUCAAAGCAGAUAGAUGGUCAGGUAGUUUAGCUCAAUUAAGUCUUGUCCUAGGAUACAUGGCCCAGUACAAAUGGAUCAGAGCGCAGCCCAUGUCUGGCUCGAGUUCUCCUAGGCCACAGCUACUGAGAAUAGCAGCUGCUUUAAAGGCUAGUUCCCUUGUAGCGUGUUUACAAAAGCCUUUCCAUGACCCUUAUUUCCUCAAGCCUAAAAGAAAUAAGACAAGAUUUAAAAGACAUCAGGUUGGGGCCAUGUACUUGCUCCUAAGAAACAACAUUAAAAAAAAAAAAAAAAGCCAGGCAUAGUUGUACCUGCUUAUAAUCCCACCUCUCGGGCGGUGGAGACAGGUAUCUCACAUUUAAAUGCUUUUAAUGAGCCAAGAG